AGGAACCGGUCAGUCGCCAACC
RNAcentral lists this microRNA (22 nucleotides) under Hydra vulgaris (swiftwater hydra). RNAcentral describes it as "Hvu-Mir-3005_5p (mature (co-guide))". Lineage: Eukaryota; Metazoa; Cnidaria; Hydrozoa; Anthoathecata; Hydridae. The record is from RNAcentral.